AGAGUUUGAUCCUGGCUCAGGAUGAACGCUAGCGGGAGGCCUAACACAUGCAAGCCGAGCGGUAGGUUUCCUUCGGGAAACUGAGAGCGGCGCACGGGUGCGGAACACGUGUGCAACCUGCCUUUAUCAGGGGGAUAGCCUUUCGAAAGGAAGAUUAAUACCCCAUAAUAUAUCAGAUGGCAUCAUUUGAUAUUGAAAACUACGGUGGAUAAAGAUGGGCACGCGCAGGAUUAGAUAGUUGGUAGGGUAACGGCCUACCAAGUCAACGAUCCUUAGGGGGCCUGAGAGGGUGAUCCCCCACACUGGUACUGAGACACGGACCAGACUCCUACGGGAGGCAGCAGUGAGGAAUAUUGGACAAUGGGUGAGAGCCUGAUCCAGCCAUCCCGCGUGAAGGACGACGGCCCUAUGGGUUGUAAACUUCUUUUGUAUAGGGAUAAACCUACUCUCGUGAGAGUAGCUGAAGGUACUAUACGAAUAAGCACCGGCUAACUCCGUGCCAGCAGCCGCGGUAAU
RNAcentral lists this ribosomal RNA (516 nucleotides) under uncultured bacterium. Its description in RNAcentral is "bacterial SSU rRNA". It matches the Rfam family "Bacterial small subunit ribosomal RNA", at positions 8 to 524 of the family's 1533-position model. The record is from RNAcentral.